Molecule: long non-coding RNA, 1051 nt
Filed under: Sarcophilus harrisii (Tasmanian devil)
Lineage: Eukaryota; Metazoa; Chordata; Mammalia; Dasyuromorphia; Dasyuridae
Description: lncRNA (ENSSHAG00000032262.1)
Source: RNAcentral
AGGGGUUGUAGCUGACCGGGGCUCGUCUACCCAAGCGUUCUUCCUUCCCCCAUUGGGAACAAUAGUUGUCUCCUCCCCAGACUAGAGGCACAAAGGGGGCCUGUCUCUGCAGCUAUGAGCCCGGGUUGGUCGGCUGGAUACCUACGUGACUCCACGUUCAUUAGCAUCUGUUUGUGACCACGAAAUAUCGACGUUAUAGACUGUGUCUCUGUGAUAUGUAAGGCUUGGGGGAGGGGUAGUAGGUGGAUAUUACUAAAUACUACCUGAAAUCUUUCCUGAAAGACAAACGGUGAGUAAAUCAGCCUUACUGACUGAAGCAUUGCCUUCUCAGCAAGGAGCCGAAUUAAAGACCUGGCGGUUCCUCCUACUUGAGAGCACGUCUGGGCCAGCUGGGAACCGACCAGAAACCACAAGCAGAGGAGACAGAGCUAACGGGCGAAACCCGCAGCUUCCUAGCUCCAGCAGGGAGGGGAGUAGAGAUCAAACCUCUUCUCUGUAACAAGAGGAAUGUAAAAAGGGACCUAUCUGGGUAACCACAGAUAGCAACCGCACCAGCCUCCCGCCAGCCUUUCAUUCCCAUUACAUCUCUGUCACACUGUCUAUGCCAAACAUUGCCACCCAAGGAACACCCACAGGGAGACCCUGCCAAACGCCAGUUUUACUAUUACUCAACCCUCUCUUCUACACAUCCAGAUCCAUUUUCCACAUUCUUCAUCACACCUCCAUAAGACACAGAGACAUACAAAUAGACAAACACAGAGACUGUCUCCACUUUUAUCGGCAAACACCCAACUCCUCUUUUCCCUCAGUCAUCAGCAAAGAGAUCUCUGCAAAGAGCAUAUAAAAAUUAGAAUCAAAGAAGAUAGUAAUUCAUUUAAAAAAUCGGCAAUGAAAAAAUACUUAAGUUCAAUAUCCAACGGCAGAGUUAAACAUGAUUGGUUAUCUAACUUAUUUGCAAAAGAUAUAUAUGAAUGGAAAAAGGAGGGGAAAUUUGUGGUUGAACUUGAAGGUAACCUUAAGCAUUUUUAUGGUCAAAAUAAUCAUUAAAAAC